AUUCAUACUGGCCAUGACAAUAUUUACCAGUGCAAUCAGCUUAGGUGGUGUGGGGAUAGCAAAUAUGAUUGAGAAGCUGGAGAACCAAGAUUAUAUGGGAUUUGAUAACCUUUGUUACCAUUCCUAGAUAUGUAAUUUGGCUUUAAAACAAAGGCUAGUUGUGGAAGGAUAUGACUACUUAAUUCCACAUUGUAAUAAGUCACAUUUUCAAUUUAUAUUGCGUCUAUUUGUUUUCAAGAAGAAAACAAAAUUAUAACUUGGAUCCAUCUCUAUUUUA
Long non-coding RNA from Solanum tuberosum (potato), 277 nucleotides. RefSeq lists it as uncharacterized. The transcript has 2 exons. NCBI's taxonomy places the organism in Eukaryota, Viridiplantae, Streptophyta, Magnoliopsida, Solanales, Solanaceae. The record is from RefSeq and is a predicted model, not a curated record.